UCGAGGAUCUUCGGCAAUGGGCGCAAGCCUGACCGAGCGACGCCGCGUGGAGGAUGAAGGCCUUCGGGUUGUAAACUCCUGUCGAGGGGGAUCAAGGCGCAAGCUUGAGAGAUCCCUGGAGGAAGCACGGGCUAAGUUCGUGCCAGCAGCCGCGGUAAGACGAACCGUGCAAACGUUGUUCGGAAUCACUGGGCUUAAAGGGCGCGUAGGCGGCUUGCCAAGUCGGGGGUGAAAUCCAGCAGCUUAACUGUUGAAGUGCCUUCGAUACUGGCAAGCUCGAGGAAGGUAGGGGUAUGUGGAACUUCUGGUGGAGCGGUGAAAUGCGUUGAUAUCAGAAGGAACGCCGGUGGCGAAAGCGACGUACUGGACCUUUUCUGACGCUGAGGCGCGAAAGCUAGGGGAGCAAACGGGAUUAGAUACCCCCGUAGUCC
RNAcentral lists this ribosomal RNA (431 nucleotides) under uncultured bacterium. RNAcentral's name for it is "bacterial SSU rRNA". It matches the Rfam family "Bacterial small subunit ribosomal RNA", at positions 355 to 796 of the family's 1533-position model. The record is from RNAcentral.